AAUUCAGAAGCAUGGGAUAAUCGGAACAAGGCACUGAAGUAGGAAUACUUGUUCCGAUUAUCCCAUGCUUCUGAAUU
Molecule: microRNA precursor, 77 nt
Organism: Taeniopygia guttata (zebra finch)
Lineage: Eukaryota; Metazoa; Chordata; Aves; Passeriformes; Estrildidae
Source: Ensembl